GAGAGUUUUUAUUUUUAUAUUGGUAAUAAAAGAGAUUUUCAGUCGUUCACGGUCGCCACCCAACCUACCUAGUUCCUACUCCUCUGCAACAGGAAUGGCUGCGCCGGCCCCUGGCGAGGAAAAGACCCUCCAAGAUGAACUCUCGCUCCCAAUUCUGUUCGCCGAACGGGUCAUCAAGUUGGCCCAGGAAGCCGAGUCGUCCAAGCAGGACUGCGCCGAGCUGGUCAAGCAAGUGGACCGCCUCGCCCAGAUGCUCCGCUCCACGGUCCGACACGCCUCCGCAACGCAAACGCUCUACGAGAGGCCCGUGCGGCGGAUCGUUGCUGACGUGGCGAAGAACCUGGACCGAGCCAUAACCCUGGUCCGCAAGUGCAAGCACAGCGGCGUCCUCCGCCAGGUCUUCUCCAUCACCACCACCGCUGACUUCCGCAAGGUCUCGAGCCUCCUGGAGUCCUCCAUCGGCGACAUGAAGUGGCUGCUUUCGAUCUUCGACUCGGACGGCACCGGCCUCUCCCUACCCCCAAUCGCCAGCAACGACCCCAUCCUCGCCUGGGUCUGGUCCUACACCGCCACCAUCCAGAUGGGCCAGCCCAAGGACCGCGCCGAGGCCGCCAACUCGCUCGCCUCUUUAGCGAGCGACAACGACCGCAACAAGAAGAUGAUCGUCGAGGAGGGAGGGAUUGGACCGCUGCUCAAGCUUCUCAAGGAGGGCUCCUCCGCCGAGGCCCAAAUCGCUGCCGCCACUGCUCUCUGCAACAUCGCCACCGACCGGGAGAGGGUGCGCUUCGUCGUGGAGUCGCACGGAGUUCCGGUGAUCGUUCAGGUGCUUGGGGACUCUCCGGCCAGGGUUCAGACCUCGGUGGCGAAGCUGGUGGCCCUGAUGGCCGAGAUGGACCCCGAAGCGAAGGAGGAGUUCGCGCGAGAGAACGCGACGAGGCCGCUUGUGUCGACGCUGGCCAUGGACACGGUUAUGGACGAUCCGAAGCCUCAGUCCGGUAAGACCAGCAUUCAUUCCCUUGUUCAGAUUAACAAAGAGCUAGCUAAGAGUGACAGCGUAGCACGAAACUAUCAUAACAUUAGUGGGUCGUUGGGUCAUUCGCAUUCCGAUGGGAGUAGCAGAGGUGGUGGCCAUUAUAAUAGAAAGGAGAGGGAGUGGGAGUCGGAGACACCUGAGGUAAAGCUUGAGGUCAAGGUCAGUUGCGCAGAGGCGCUAUGGAAAUUGUCCAAAGAGAGUUUGGGAAAUAGUAGGAAAAUUGCAGAGACAAAAGGGUUGCUUUGCUUAGCCAAGAUUGUUGAGGUUGAGAGAGAAGAAUUGCAACUCAAUUGUUUGAUGACGGUGAUGGAGAUAGCUGCCGUGGCAGAAUCCAAUCCCGACCUUAGGCGAGCUGCUUUUAAGCCUAGUUCGCCGCCUGCAAAGGCGGUGUUGGAUCAGCUAUUGAGGGUAAUUCAAGAAGGGAGUAGUCCGACAUUGCAAAUUCCUGCAAUUAAAGCAAUUGGGUGUUUGGCGCGGACUUUCCCUGCGAGGGAGUCACGUAUAAUUGGUCCUUUGGUUGUGCAGCUUGGUGGUAAGAAUGUGGAGGUGGCAAUGGAGACUGCUGUUGCACUGGGGAAAUUUGUGUGCCCGGAGAAUUUCAAUUGCCUGGAGCAUUCGAAGGCGAUUUUAGAGUUUGAUGGGGUUUCACCGCUAAUGAAGCUGUUGCGGAACAAUGACCGGGCUCAAAUGCCCGGACUCGUUUUGUUGUGUUAUCUUGCGCUGAACGUUGGCAAUAGCAAGGCCCUCGAGCAAGCACGGGCACUGUAUGUUCUCGAGGGUGCAGCCCGUUCUGUUGUAGCUCAAUAUCCUGGUUUGAGGGAACUGUUUGCCAAGGCCAUACACCACCUCACUCUUUAUCAGGCUGGAGCUCAUCCCCACAGGCAGCCUUAUGCACCCUAAAGCCACUUUGUUGGCUGCUAGAACUAUUCCUCCAUGUGAUUGUUGAUGAAGAAGAAAAGCUCGAGUACACAAAAAAUAUACAAGAGAAGUACAUAAUACACAAUUAUUUGCAUUUCUUUAACGUUUUUAGCAAUUAUGGUCACUUUAUGUGGUUAAUUUCCCUACAGUUGUGUCAAGACAAUUAUAUCUUUCCUUGGUAACAAUAAUAUCAUUUGGGGUUGGGCAAGAAAUUAACCCGCGAUGUUUAAUCAGUUUCACCUGCACUGACCAGGUUGAGGAAAACUGAUUUGAUAAACUACGAGUCAUGCCUUCUCCUGAUCUAUGUCAGAGUUCAAAGUUAUCUAGCCGAUCUCUUGCCAUAGAGUGGUGUGAAGAAGGUGAAAUGCAAAACAAGUGACAUAAGCGCCAUAUAUAUGCAUUGUAUGUAGGCAUGCAGUUCAGUAGGUUUCGUUCCAUACAUUUAAGGCCUUGGUGAUUCUCAAAAUUCUGUAAUCUGUUGUAUGAACUAUGCCACUCUUUAAUGAUAUAUAUAUAUAUA
RNA transcript from Alnus glutinosa, 2471 nucleotides. RefSeq lists it as uncharacterized. Lineage: Eukaryota; Viridiplantae; Streptophyta; Magnoliopsida; Fagales; Betulaceae. The transcript is spliced from 3 exons. The record is from RefSeq and is a predicted model, not a curated record.